UAGGGAAUCUUCCGCAAUGGGCGAAAGCCUGACGGAGCAACGCCGCGUGAGUGAUGAAGGUCUUCGGAUCGUAAAACUCUGUUAUUAGGGAAGAACAAAUGUGUAAGGAACUAUGCACGUCUUGACGGUACCUAAUCAGAAAGCCACGGCUAACUACGUGCCAGCAGCCGCGGUAAUACGUAGGUGGCAAGCGUUAUCCGGAAUUAUUGGGCGUAAAGCGCGCGUAGGCGGUUUUUUAAGUCUGAUGUGAAAGCCCACGGCUCAACCGUGGAGGGUCAUUGGAAACUGGAAAACUUGAGUGCAGAAGAGGAAAGUGGAAUUCCAUGUGUAGCGGUGAAAUGCGCAGAGAUAUGGAGGAACACCAGUGGCGAAGGCGACUUUCUGGUCUGUAACUGACGCUGAUGUGCGAAAGCGUGGGGAUCAAACAGG
This 429-nucleotide ribosomal RNA is filed under the name Actinomycetes bacterium. Its description in RNAcentral is "Actinobacteria bacterium partial 16S ribosomal RNA". It matches the Rfam family "Bacterial small subunit ribosomal RNA", at positions 355 to 776 of the family's 1533-position model. Lineage: Bacteria; Bacillati; Actinomycetota; Actinomycetes. The record is from RNAcentral.